GUAACGGUGUCUUUAGACACCACCCCUGAUCUUCAAAAAAAAAUUGU
Non-coding RNA from Picea glauca (white spruce), 47 nucleotides. NCBI's taxonomy places the organism in Eukaryota, Viridiplantae, Streptophyta, Pinopsida, Pinales, Pinaceae. The record is from Rfam.